This 1758-nucleotide long non-coding RNA is filed under the name Macaca mulatta (Rhesus monkey). RNAcentral's name for it is "lncRNA (ENSMMUG00000054734.1)". Lineage: Eukaryota; Metazoa; Chordata; Mammalia; Primates; Cercopithecidae. The record is from RNAcentral.
UUUUUUUCCAGCGACAUUCACGAGAGAGACGAAGAGGACACGGUCAUUCGAGUGCCGAGGCGCGGAAGCGCGAACUGCGCGGAGCGACCUGGCUUGGCGCACAGACUCGUUUACCAAGCUCGAGAGGCGGCAGCAAUGCGUGUGCGGGAAGGGGAGCGGUUCUCAAAAUACAAAGUGAUAAAACAGCUUCCAGUUGUGUUGAAAAACGAUGCAAACCCUCAAUUCCUUUUUUUCUUUUUUGGACCUGGCCGGACCUGGAAGUGCCGGUUAUAAACAAGAACAAAACCUUGAAUUUAUUGGUGGAAGUCCUAUUAAAAGAGCCCAACACAGGCAUAUGAGACAAACUGCAAGAAGCAAAUGGUCUCCAUUGAGAGAGCAGGACCACACUCUCUGGGUUCUUGUUUAAGGUGGGUCAAAGAAAAAAAAUUAUUUGCUUGUGUGUUUUUAAGAAAAAGACAUGGGAACCAAACAUGAAGGUUUCAAAGGUGUUUGUGAUAAUGCGCCUUUCAUUACAGACAUGUCAGUUUGAGAAUUUUGUCACAGCUCAGUGGAUUCUUUGUGAUUUCUGCUGGUGGUUGCUUACUUUGUUGAACUCUCUUCUGAGUGCUGAGACUGGUCAAUAUGCUGAAAUAAAUCGACAUGUUUCUGUACCUACAAGACUGCAUUAAAGAAAUGAAUGUAUCCAUAUUAUUAAAAACAAUACCAUCUGAAUAUCAAUAAAUACAGAACUAACCACCAUGGAUGAAUCGCAUACACAUAAUACUAAAAGAAGCCAGACGCAAGAAUACGUACUUUAUGCUUCUGUUUAUAUAAAGCUCAAAAACAUGCACUAAUCCCUAGUGUUACGUUAGCCCAACUAUAGUGAGGGUAGUGGUUACCCUCAGAGGAGUAGUCACUGAUAAUGUUCUGUUACAUAGGUGUGUUCGCCUUAUGAAAACUCAUUGAGCUUACACAUUUGUGAACUUAAGACAUGCAUUUUUUCUGUAUAUAUGUUUUAUUUCAAUAAAACACAUACUUCACAAAAUGAAAAUAAGGGAAAAAAUACUAAGAAGUAAAGGCAUGGAAUUGUGAGCCAAUGUAUUUUUAAAAGGCAGAGAGGCUGAAGCUGAGGGCUGAGGAUAUAAUUCCCAAAGAGAAAAAAUGUACGAAAACAUCUGGCAAAAUGUUAUUAGCAAGGUUUGAAUGUGUUCACUUUGCCAUUUUAAUAUCCACCCACCCACAAACAGAAUACUACUCAGUAUUCAUUCUUCACCAAAUAUAGGAAUCUUUCUUGUUUCUUUUGCAUGUGUUAAAGUAAAAGUCUGGUUAAGGUGUUUUAAGAAUCUUAUUCUUUGUCUCUAAGACGCAGCACUCCCUGAUCCUAAAAAACAAAAACAAAAAAAGCUUAUUUUCUCCAUGCACAUGCAUUAAAAAAUCAUCAGAUGAUUUUCUCAUUUUCAGUUUUGUGAUAUAUUUUCUUCUCAAGAGGGGAUAUCUGUUUCUGAUUUAUUAGCAUUUGAUCUCCUAGUUUCCUGCCAUUGAUCAAGCCUAAUACUUAGCUCAGCUGAUGAGUUUUAUAUGAAAUCUGAUAUUUUAGGAAGAUGGAAGGUUGAACCCAUUUUUAAUAUUUGUUUGCCCUUCAUCUCUUUCAGCAUUUGACGUGCACAUGAGGCACCUAACAAAGCCUAAAACUAAAUUUAUUUUUCACUACAUCUCUCUGGUAUCAAACUUUUGGAAGUAAAACAUGUAUUUAUCAAUAAAACAGAUGUUUGCCCAGCA